This 62-nucleotide small RNA is filed under the name Paenibacillus sp. P22. RNAcentral's name for it is "ctRNA". The record is from RNAcentral. Lineage: Bacteria; Bacillati; Bacillota; Bacilli; Caryophanales; Paenibacillaceae.
UGAAGCUGAAAAAGCAGAGAGCGGCUCGAUAUCCGAGCCGCUCUCUGCUUUUUAUAAUGGCA